Molecule: long non-coding RNA, 490 nt
Organism: Arabidopsis thaliana (thale cress)
Lineage: Eukaryota; Viridiplantae; Streptophyta; Magnoliopsida; Brassicales; Brassicaceae
Product: other RNA
Exons: 1
Source: RefSeq
AUUCAUACCUUUCUCGGCCUUUUGGCUAAGAUCAAGUGUAGUAUCUGUUCUUAUCAGUUUAAUAUCUGAUAUGUGGGCCAUCGGCCCACACGAUAUUAACUCUAUUUUUUAAGGGAGAAAGCCCGUUAAGAUAGCUUGCUAUCUGGGCUUUCACGAGUCGCCCAUGCGUUGCACUACUGCAUGGGCCUGGCUCAACCCGCCAAUUUGAAAGCCCAAUAUUGUUCUUUGUUUCAUAUUUUUAUUUAAUCAUUGUUAAAUACUUACUUUGCGUCGAUACUUAUCAUUAACCACUCUUUAGGUGCCACGUGUGGAAUAUGUCCCUCCUCAAUCAAAUUCAAAGGUGAAAUUUUUACACGGCGCCGUCUCCUUGAUCUCGCCGUGGACCGUCGUCAUUGAUCACAAUUUAGUGAUUCUCUUGGAGCGGUUUUAGAUGAUGAAUUGAUUUGCUUUUGUUAUGUUUAUGUGGCGCUUGUUCGUUUUGUGUUUAGGA